This is a long non-coding RNA of Sinocyclocheilus grahami, 911 nucleotides long. RefSeq lists it as uncharacterized. The transcript has 4 exons. NCBI's taxonomy places the organism in Eukaryota, Metazoa, Chordata, Actinopteri, Cypriniformes, Cyprinidae. The record is from RefSeq and is a predicted model, not a curated record.
UUGGUCCUCCCUUUGUGGUCUUUGGCUUAUGUUCCUGUUUCUCUGUGUGAACUAUUUGCCAUUUUCCAGAUUUGGAGCAUCUGUCUUUUUUUGCCUUUUGUUAAAACUAUGUGAAUUUGGAUUCUCUCUCUGCCUCGUCUCUUCGAACACACUACAGAACAACUCAAACAAUGAAUCCAGCUGCACAGUUAAAAUGUCUCUGUCAAGGAGAUAGAUCAAUCGAAGACUAUGUUUAGGACUUUAUUGGACUGGUGCAUUCAACAUCUUUUGACGAGAGGCGCAGUGCUCCCGCAGUAGCCUCCACCCCAGAGGCUCAUCACAACAGGACCGUCACUCCACAGACUCGUCCCAUCAUGGCUGCCAUUUCCGAGUCUCAUCCCAUCAUGGUCACAACUCCAGAGUCCUUAGGCCUAAUGACCGCCACGCCAACGUCCUUGGCUGUCAUGGACGCCAAGUUAAAGUCUCCAGCCGUCAUGGACACCACACCAGUGUUUUUUUAAAAAGAUGCGAUGCGACUCUCCAGCGAGUUGUCAGAUUGAGGACAUGCAACGGGAAUUAGCGCAAUUGAAAAUGGAAGGUGACGAGCCUUAUACUAAAGCAAAGACUAGAGAAAUGUCUGCACCUCCACCAGCCAGAACAAUUCAUUUGAGAUGAUAGAGGAAGUAGGUGAGCUGAAGCAGCCAGUUGCAGGGCCUGCACUUUCUGUUUUGUCCCACUUUACUUCAAGACACCAUGUAAUCACUUAAGAGCUGUUUUUGUCCUGUGUUCAAGUAUUUCUUAAUGAAAAUUGAGGUUUUGAGGGGUAAUUCAGAACAAAAUGGAUUCACCGAACAAUUUCAAUUGUCUCCCAUAUUUUCACUCACUGACGAAGGCAGGGAGAUUUUUAGCACUACUGCAAAAAUAAUGAACAG